Molecule: ribosomal RNA, 578 nt
Filed under: uncultured soil bacterium
Lineage: Bacteria
Description: partial 16S ribosomal RNA
Source: RNAcentral
CGUUCGCUCCCCUGGCUUUCGCGCCUCAGCGUCAGUGUCGGCCCAGCAACCCGCCUUCGCCGCAGGUGUUCCUCUCGAUAUCUACGCAUUUCACCGCUACACCGAGAAUUCCAGUUGCCCCUUCCGCACUCUAGCCCGACAGUAUCAGUUGGCCGCUCUGAGUUGGGCCCAGAGAUUUCACAACUGACUUGUCGUGGCCGCCUACGCGCCCUUUACGCCCAGUAAAUCCGAACAACGCUUGCUCCCCCCGUAUUACCGCGGCUGCUGGCACGGAGUUAGCCGGAGCUUACAAAUGGUACCGUCACCACAGGGGGUAUUAGUCCCUGCUUAUUCUUCCCAUUCUUAUGGAGUUUACAUUCCGAAAAACUUCAUCCUCCACGCGGCGUUGCUGGGUCAGGCUUGCGCCCAUUGCCCAAAAUUCCCGACUGCUGCCUCCCGUAGGAGUCUGACCCGUAUGUCAGUGUCAGUGUGGCCGACCGCCCUCUCAGGCCGGCUACAGAUCGCAGGCUUGGUGAGCCAUUACCUCACCAACUACCUAAUCCGCCGCAGGCUCCUCUCUAGGCGCGAGGCCCCGAAGG